CAGAGUAGUAGUUUAAUAAAAUAUUAGCGUUGGAAGCUAAAGAUUAGGUAGUGGUGGCCUAUUGUCUGA
This 69-nucleotide transfer RNA is filed under the name Cipangopaludina longispira. Its description in RNAcentral is "tRNA-Pro". The record is from RNAcentral. Lineage: Eukaryota; Metazoa; Mollusca; Gastropoda; Architaenioglossa; Viviparidae.